GACGAACGCUGGCGGCGUGCUUAACACAUGCAAGUCGAACGGAAAGACCCUGCUUUUGUGGGGUGCUCGAGUGGCGAACGGGUGAGUAACACGUGAGUAACCUGCCCUUGACUUUGGGAUAACUUCAGGAAACUGGGGCUAAUACCGGAUAGGAGCUCCUGCUGCAUGGUGGGGGUUGGAAAGUUUCGGCGGUUGGGGCUGGACUCGCGGCUUAUCCGCUUGUUGGUGGGGUAGUGGCUUACCAAGGCUUUGACGGGUAGCCGGCCUGAGAGGGUGACCGGCGACAUGGGGACUGAGAGACGGCCCAGACGCGUACGGGAGGCAGCAGGGGGGAGUAUUGCACAAUGGGCGGAAGCCUGAUGCAGCAACGCCGCGUGCGGGAUGACGGCCUUCGGGUUGUAAACCGCUUUCGCCUGUGACGAAGCGUGAGUGACGGUAAUGGGUAAAGAAGCACCGACUAACUACGUG
Molecule: ribosomal RNA, 468 nt
Filed under: uncultured bacterium
Lineage: Bacteria
Description: partial 16S ribosomal RNA
Rfam family: Bacterial small subunit ribosomal RNA
Source: RNAcentral